AAAGGGUCCGUAGGCGGAUUAAUAAGUCAGUGGUGAAAUCCCAUCGCUUAACGAUGGAACUGCCAUUGAUACUGUUAGUCUUGAAUGAGGGUGCAGUGGUUGGAAUGUGUAGUGUAGCGGUGAAAUGCAUAGAUAUUACACAGAACACCGAUUGCGAAGGCAGAUCACUAACCCUAAAUUGACGCUGAGGGACGAAAGCGUGGGGAGCGAACAGGAUUAGAUACCCUGGUAG
This 232-nucleotide ribosomal RNA is filed under the name uncultured bacterium. RNAcentral's name for it is "partial 16S ribosomal RNA". It matches the Rfam family "Bacterial small subunit ribosomal RNA", at positions 562 to 793 of the family's 1533-position model. The record is from RNAcentral.